This 475-nucleotide ribosomal RNA is filed under the name uncultured bacterium. RNAcentral describes it as "bacterial SSU rRNA". It matches the Rfam family "Bacterial small subunit ribosomal RNA", at positions 55 to 527 of the family's 1533-position model. The record is from RNAcentral.
AUGCAGUCGACGCGAAAGUCGCUUCGGCGGCGAGUAGAGUGGCGGACGGGUGAGUAACGCGUGGGAAUCCACCCUGUAGUGGGGGACAACCCGAGGAAACUCGGGCUAAUACCGCAUACUUCCUACGGGAGAAAGGGGGCCUCUGAUUCAAGCUCCCGCUACGGGACGAGCCCGCGUCGGAUUAGCUAGUUGGUAGGGUAAGAGCCUACCAAGGCGACGAUCCGUAGCUGGUCUGAGAGGAUGAUCAGCCACACUGGGACUGAGACACGGCCCAGACUCCUACGGGAGGCAGCAGUGGGGAAUAUUGGACAAUGGGGGCAACCCUGAUCCAGCAAUGCCGCGUGUGUGAAGAAGGCCUGCGGGUUGUAAAGCACUUUCGGUCGGGAAGAAAAGCUCGCGGUUAAUAGCCUCGGGACUUGACGUUACCGACACAAGAAGCACCGGCUAACUCCGUGCCAGCAGCCGCGGUAAUACG